Molecule: transfer RNA, 76 nt
Filed under: Candidatus Nanopelagicaceae bacterium
Lineage: Bacteria; Bacillati; Actinomycetota; Actinomycetes; Candidatus Nanopelagicales; Candidatus Nanopelagicaceae
Also listed under: 1 other name
Description: tRNA-Ala
Rfam family: tRNA
About the family: Transfer RNA (tRNA) molecules are approximately 80 nucleotides in length. Their secondary structure includes four short double-helical elements and three loops (D, anti-codon, and T loops).
Source: RNAcentral
GGGGCUAUGGCGCAGCUGGUAGCGCACCUGCAUGGCAUGCAGGGGGUCAGGGGUUCAAGUCCCCUUAGCUCCACAA